UACCUGCAGCUCGAGUGGUAACCGCUAUUAUUGGGCCUAAAGCGUCCGUAGCCGGUUUGGUAAAUAUCUGGGUAAAUCGUAUGGCUUAACCAUACGAAUUCCGGGUAGACUGUUUGACUUGAGACCGGGAGAAGCUAGAGGUACUCCUGGGGUAGAAGUGAAAUUCUGUAAUCCUAGGGGGACCACCAGUGGCGAAGGCGUCUAGCUAGAACGGGUCUGACGGUGAGGGACGAAGCCCUGGGGCGCAAACGGGAUUAGAUACCCCGGUAGUCCAGGGUGUAAACGCUGCUUGCUUGAUGUUAGUCUGGCUCCGAGCCAGAUUAGUGUCGGAGAGAAGUUGUUAAGCAAGCUGCCUGGGAAGUACGGCCGCAAGACUGAAACUUAAAGGAAUUGGCGGGGGAGCACAGCAACGGGUGGAGCGUGCGGUUU
This 429-nucleotide ribosomal RNA is filed under the name uncultured archaeon. RNAcentral describes it as "bacterial SSU rRNA". It matches the Rfam family "Archaeal small subunit ribosomal RNA", at positions 474 to 903 of the family's 1478-position model. The record is from RNAcentral.